This 703-nucleotide ribosomal RNA is filed under the name Psychrobacter sp. CJNY51. RNAcentral's name for it is "bacterial SSU rRNA". It matches the Rfam family "Bacterial small subunit ribosomal RNA", at positions 387 to 1082 of the family's 1533-position model. Lineage: Bacteria; Pseudomonadati; Pseudomonadota; Gammaproteobacteria; Moraxellales; Moraxellaceae. The record is from RNAcentral.
UCCAGCCAUGCCGCGUGUGUGAAGAAGGCCUUUUGGUUGUAAAGCACUUUAAGCAGUGAAGAAGACCUAACGGUUAAUACCCGUUAGCGAUGACAUUAGCUGCAGAAUAAGCACCGGCUAACUCUGUGCCAGCAGCCGCGGUAAUACAGAGGGUGCAAGCGUUAAUCGGAAUUACUGGGCGUAAAGCGAGCGUAGGUGGCUUGAUAAGUCAGAUGUGAAAUCCCCGGGCUUAACCUGGGAACUGCAUCUGAUACUGUUAAGCUAGAGUAGGUGAGAGGGAAGUAGAAUUCCAGGUGUAGCGGUGAAAUGCGUAGAGAUCUGGAGGAAUACCGAUGGCGAAGGCAGCUUCCUGGCAUCAUACUGACACUGAGGCUCGAAAGCGUGGGUAGCAAACAGGAUUAGAUACCCUGGUAGUCCACGCCGUAAACGAUGUCUACUAGUCGUUGGGUCCCUUGAGGACUUAGUGACGCAGCUAACGCAAUAAGUAGACCGCCUGGGGAGUACGGCCGCAAGGUUAAAACUCAAAUGAAUUGACGGGGGCCCGCACAAGCGGUGGAGCAUGUGGUUUAAUUCGAUGCAACGCGAAGAACCUUACCUGGUCUUGACAUAUCUAGAAUCCUGCAGAGAUGCGGGAGUGCCUUCGGGAAUUAGAAUACAGGUGCUGCAUGGCUGUCGUCAGCUCGUGUCGUGAGAUGUUGGGUUA